GUGGGGAAUCUUGCGCAAUGGGCGAAAGCCUGACGCAGCCAUGCCGCGUGAAUGAUGAAGGUCUUAGGAUUGUAAAAUUCUUUCACCGGGGACGAUAAUGACGGUACCCGGAGAAGAAGCCCCGGCUAACUUCGUGCCAGCAGCCGCGGUAAUACGAAGGGGGCUAGCGUUGCUCGGAAUUACUGGGCGUAAAGGGCGCGUAGGCGGACAGUUUAGUCAGAGGUGGAAGCCCAGGCUCAACCUUGGAAUUGCCUUUGAUACUGGCUGUCUUGAGUACGGGAGAGGUGAGUGGAACUCCGAGUGUAGAGGUGAAAUUCGUAGAUAUUCGGAAGAACACCAGUGGCGAAGGCGACUCACUGGCCCGUUACUGACGCUGAGGCGCGAAAGCGUGGGGAGCAAACAGGAUUAGAAACCCGAGUAGUCC
RNAcentral lists this ribosomal RNA (424 nucleotides) under uncultured bacterium. RNAcentral's name for it is "partial 16S ribosomal RNA". It matches the Rfam family "Bacterial small subunit ribosomal RNA", at positions 354 to 796 of the family's 1533-position model. The record is from RNAcentral.